Molecule: long non-coding RNA, 333 nt
Filed under: Gossypium raimondii (Peruvian cotton)
Lineage: Eukaryota; Viridiplantae; Streptophyta; Magnoliopsida; Malvales; Malvaceae
Description: long non-coding RNA (GRAI_LNC008473)
Source: RNAcentral
UUCGUUAUUUUCUUUUAUUUUUGAUUUAACCCCAUAAUUUUGUUUUUGCUUCAAUUUGAUCCUUUUUAACGCUGCAUUUUGGGGAUUUAGGGUAUUUUUCAUUUUGGUCCCCUCUCUUUAGGUGCGCAUCACGAUUUAGUCCUUUUUUUGUUUUUUUAUUUCGAUUUCACCCCGUAUUUUAGACUUUACUUCGAUUUAGUCCCUUUCUAGCAUUUUUCAUUAUCUUCUUCAUUAUUUUAAUGUAUUAUCAUUUAUUAUUAUUAUUAUUUCUAUUAUUAUUAUUAUGUAUAUUACUGUUACUUAUCAUUAUUAUUAUGUGAUAGCUUAAAUAUA